CUAAGAGUCUGGGCCGCACGCGCGCUACACUGACAGAGCCAGCGAGUAAAUCACCUUGGCCGAAAGGUCUGGGUAAUCUUGUUAAACUCUGUCGUGCUGGGGAUAGAGCAUUGCAAUUAUUGCUCUUCAACGAGGAAUGCCUAGUAAGCGCAAGUCAUCAGCUUGCGUUGAUUACGUCCCUGCCCUUUGUACACACCGCCCGUCGCUACUACCGAUUGAAUGGCUAAGUGAGGCCUCGGGACUGGCUCAGAGAGGUCGGCAACGACCACUCAGAGCUGGAAACUUGUUCAAACUUGGUCAUUUAGAGGAAGUAAAAGUCGUAACAAGGUCUUCGUAGGUGAACCUGCGGAGGGAUCAUUACCGAGUUAGGGUCCUCAUCGGGCCCGACCUCCCAACCCAUUGUUUAUGAUACCUAGUGUUGCUUCGGUAGGCCUGGUCUAUCUGUUAUAGACCUGCCGGGGGGCCGUAAGACGCCCGCCGGAGAGUGCCUACCGACAGCCUCAACUCCAAAAUUCUUUAACCAAACGUGUCUUUGUCUGAGUAACGUCUUUUAAAAUAAAGCAAAACUUUCAACAACGGAUCUCUUGGUUCUGGCAUCGAUGAAGAACGCAGCGAAAUGCGAUAAGUAAUGCGAAUUGCAGAAUUCUCGUGAGUCAUCGAAUCUUUGAACGCACAUUGCGCCCUUUGGUAUUCCGAAGGGCAUGCCUGUUCGAGCGUCAUUUUCACCCCUCAAGCCCCCGGCUUGGUGUUGGACGGUCUGGUCCGGGGACCUCAACCCCCUGGACCCCUCCCAAAGACAAUGACGGCGGGCUGUUGAACCCCCGGUACACUGAGCAUCUUCACGGACACGUACCGGUCUCAAGGGUCGACGGCCCCCGGUCUAUACUAUUUUUUUCAGGGUUGACCUCGGAUCAGGGAGGAAUACCGCUGAACUUAGCAUAUCAUAACGGAGGAAAAAAACCACGGGAUUGCCUCAUACGCA
This 982-nucleotide ribosomal RNA is filed under the name Herpotrichiellaceae sp. LM224. Its description in RNAcentral is "bacterial SSU rRNA". The stretch from base 1 to 360 matches the Rfam family "Eukaryotic small subunit ribosomal RNA", at positions 1472 to 1831 of the family's 1831-position model. The record is from RNAcentral. Lineage: Eukaryota; Fungi; Ascomycota; Eurotiomycetes; Chaetothyriales; Herpotrichiellaceae.